UCCCCGUUCUCCUGGGCAGUCUCUCCAGAGUUCUCGGCUUGACCCGUUAGUAACUGACGACAGCCAUGCACCACCUGUGAUCCUGCCCACAAGGGGAAGCCGUGUUUCCACGGCGGUCAGGAACAUGUCAAACCCAGGUAAGGUUCUUCGCGUUGCGUCGAAUUAAACCACAUGCUCCGCUGCUUGUGCGGGUCCCCGUCAAUUCCUUUGAGUUUUAGCCUUGCGGCCGUACUCCCCAGGCGGGGCACUUAAUGCGUUAGCUCCGGCACGGGAGGAGUCGACACCUCCCACACCUAGUGCCCAUCGUUUACGGCGUGGACUAC
This 323-nucleotide unclassified non-coding RNA is filed under the name uncultured Thermoleophilia bacterium. RNAcentral's name for it is "contains 16S-23S intergenic spacer region". Lineage: Bacteria; Bacillati; Actinomycetota; Thermoleophilia. The record is from RNAcentral.